This 633-nucleotide ribosomal RNA is filed under the name proteobacterium Se2Ps_2423. RNAcentral's name for it is "bacterial SSU rRNA". It matches the Rfam family "Bacterial small subunit ribosomal RNA", at positions 380 to 1006 of the family's 1533-position model. Lineage: Bacteria; Pseudomonadati; Pseudomonadota. The record is from RNAcentral.
AGCCUGAUCCAGCAAUGCCGCGUGAGUGAAGAAGGCCUUCGGGUUGUAAAGCUCUUUUGUCAGGGAAGAAACGGCCUGUUCUAAUACAGUUGGCUAAUGACGGUACCUGAAGAAUAAGCACCGGCUAACUACGUGCCAGCAGCCGCGGUAAUACGUAGGGUGCAAGCGUUAAUCGGAAUUACUGGGCGUAAAGCGUGCGCAGGCGGUUUUGUAAGUCUGUCGUGAAAUCCCCGGGCUCAACCUGGGAAUGGCGAUGGAGACUGCAAGGCUAGAGUUUGGCAGAGGGGGGUAGAAUUCCACGUGUAGCAGUGAAAUGCGUAGAUAUGUGGAGGAACACCGAUGGCGAAGGCAGCCCCCUGGGUCAAAACUGACGCUCAUGCACGAAAGCGUGGGGAGCAAACAGGAUUAGAUACCCUGGUAGUCCACGCCCUAAACGAUGUCUACUAGUUGUCGGGUCUUAAUUGACUUGGUAACGCAGCUAACGCGUGAAGUAGACCGCCUGGGGAGUACGGUCGCAAGAUUAAAACUCAAAGGAAUUGACGGGGACCCGCACAAGCGGUGGAUGAUGUGGAUUAAUUCGAUGCAACGCGAAAAACCUUACCUACCCUUGACAUGGCUGGAAUCCCUGAGAGA